Nicotiana tabacum (common tobacco) is the source of this 3953-nucleotide non-coding RNA. Lineage: Eukaryota; Viridiplantae; Streptophyta; Magnoliopsida; Solanales; Solanaceae. The record is from RefSeq and is a predicted model, not a curated record.
CUAAAAAUCAACCUACUCCCUCAUUUUCUGAAAACUGCCGCCCAACCCCAAAUGUUGUUCUCUCAUCUCUCUCAAAUGAGAGACACGGCAGUCCCCAUCUCCCACGGCCUCCCCUUUUAAUCUCUCUCUCUCUCUCUCUCUCUCUCUCAUUUUUGGAGAGCCCUCAGCUGUCUCGUAGAGGAAACCCAUCGGCUCUCUCUUUUAUCUUCACUCUCAAAUGGAAAGGGCUACUGUUUCUCUUCUUAGCCAUCAUCGCUGACCUGCAAGCUACCGGAGAAGGUGACUCCGGUGAGACAAGGUCGUUCAUUUUUCUUUAGAGUCGCCAGGCGUCGCCGCCUAGGCACAACCGGAUUCGCUGUUGUUCAAACGCCACAGAUCUGGCAUUGAACGUCGAACCUUCAUUUCAUCUCUUUCUCGACCUCACCGGAGUUCAUCGUCAGUGGGUCAUUUGCGACUGUUCGAGACUGCUUUUUGCUACCUCUAUUUUAACUCAUCGCACUUCCAUUUUUAAGUCGUUGUUAUGACUGUUGUUUAUUACUGAUGUUCUAACUUUUGUGAUGAUUUUGGGGUUUUCUUUUAAAAUUCACUGUAUUGCCUUGCUUGGCCGGAAACAAUAGAAUUCCGGCGACCCCCUGUUAUGCUUUGAUUUUGACUGGACAAAGCAUACCCAGCAGCCCUCAUAUUUUGUCAUGGUUUCACUUCAUUCUUUAAUUUUUCUACUGAUUUAAAUCAUGAGACCCAAACGAUGGUAAUAAAACAGGCACAAAAUAAUUUUGGGGUUUGAUUAUUCUCGGAUUUCUACCGAUGCUGGUACUGUGACUUUUAUUUGUCACUAUUUGUUCCCUAAAUUAAGAGAUGCUUUUGCUGCUUAGAAGUUUAGUUUAACCUUCGUAUGUGUUUGAGGCCUUCGCUGUUGAUUGUUGACCCAUGGUUUACUUGCUUCCUUCACAAAUUUGCACAGCUGAUUAAAAUGGUACUUUGGCAUAUAAAUUCUUCCGCCUUGACUAUGUGGUAAUGUCAUAUUUCCGGUGCACCUCUUUUCGCUAUUGCUAUAAUUUGAAGUUUGCAGGCGGAUCUGUUUGCUUGGGAAACGUUUUUGGUAUUGUUAUUGCCCGUCUAUGUCAAUUGAGCAUGAGGUUGGUAUUGAACAAAAUUUACACUAAAGCUGAUGAGAACAAUAUUUUGAGGCCACGACGCCCUGAAUGACCCUCAUAUUGGGCCUGAAAUAACGAGGUAUUAUUACGUGGAGCAGCUUUCGAAAGAUGACACUCGGAGAUGAAACCUACCAUGUCAAAUUCCCGCUUCAUGCUUCCCAUUCUUGGAUGUACCAAAACGUAAUGUAUAGCAAAAAUUGUAGAUCGAGUUUGUGUUUUCUUGCUUGCUUUGAUAAUGUUUAUUUGCUAAACACUUGGGGAAUUGCAUAUUAUUAAUAAUCAGAGUAACUUGCAAUAUUGUGUGUCAAAUAAUUCUUCAAGUGUGUAUAGGAUGUUGAAUUCUAGACAAGCCUCAAUGGAUACUGGAAACAAAAGGAGAGUUCAGUGUAAAGUCAGCAUGGGAAUACUUGAGAAGAAGAAAUGAACCUGCCAAUGCUUACAAGAAAAUAUGGGUGAAAGGUUUGCCUUGCAAGAUUGCUUUCUUCAUGUGGAAUGUGGAAAGUAUGGAGAAAUAAGCUGCCUUUUGAUGAUUUUUUCAGAAGAGUGGGAUACCUAAUGGCUUCUAAAUGAUGGUGUUGUACUGAACCAAAGGAGGAGACAAGGCAGCAUCUCUUCUUUACAUUAUAUGCUGCUAAUAGAGUGAAAUUAUUUUCUUGGGCAUGCAGGUAUUGCAUUGGAUGGGAUUACAUUUCAUCAGGAUGUGACUUAGGUGCUAGACUGUUGAUGUGAUUCCUAGAUUGCAGCCUAUUCUGCAAGCUUUACUAGCUGUUAUUGUGUGGGAGUUAUGAAAGAGAAGAAAUAGCUACAAAUAUGGAGAUGCAGUAUCUAUAAGUAGAGUUAUCUAUCAAGUUUCCACGACCAUGCAAUCCUUAGUCAGAGUUAGAAAGACAGGCCUGCAGAAUGUGCCACAAAAAUAGCCAGAACUGUUGAAUAUAAUGGAGGCCUAUAUACCUAAACUGAAGGUUAGUAAGGUGAUGUGGGAAUAUCCAAGUCCAGGGUGGAUCAAGGUUAAUACAGAUGUGGCUUAUAGGGGAAAUCCUGGAAGAAGUUCCAUUAGUUUUGUGCUACGAAAUGAGGAGGGCGAUGUAAUAUAUGGAUGUGGAAAGGAGGUACAGGAAAGAACAAAUACUAAAGCUAAAGCAAAGGCAAUUUUGGAAGCCUUGAGGUUUUGUGUGGAAAAUGCCUAUGUGCUUAUUGAGCUUCACGCUGAUUCAAUGAUGCUCAAAAAUGUGAUAACUGGAGAAUGGAGUGUGCCAUGGGCCAUUACUGCACAGGUAGAGGAGAUUAAUGAAAUGAUGGCAAGGAUCAACGUAACGGUUGCUCAUACAUUAAGGGAAGGAAAUAGAUUGGCUGAUCAUCUAGCUAAUUAUGCAUUAGAUGUUGGAUCUAUUCAGGCUUACUAUUUUUGGAGCUAGAGAAUUAAGGGAGGAGUAUAGUAAAUAAUGACAAAUUACAAUGCUCGUAUCUAAGAGUAAAAGUAGCAAGAAAUUAGGAGGAGAGGAGAUAACAAGGUGGAGUAGCAGGCUGAAAACAACUGGAGAAGUAUGGUUACUUGAAGCAAUGAGGAUUGAAUAGAGUUUGGAGUUAAUAGGAUCAAGGGGUGUGUUGUGGAGAAAGAUAAUGCACCCAAUAGCAUUGAUACCACAUACAGGGAGCCAGGCGAAUAGCUGUGCAGAAUAAUAUGUUGCUGCUAAUCAUCAUACUCAAGUCCUUAGGGAGGAGGAGAUGAUGAUCUUUUUUAUACUAACUCUGUGUUCUUUUUUGCAGGGAUCUUUACUAUAUCCAUGUCCUACUAUCUGCUAUAAAUUCAAAGGGUGGUAUUAGCAGUUGAUGCUCAUUCCCUUUAAAAAGUAGUAUUAAUAGUAGGCAUAAGCAUGGAAACAUGUAAAAUUCUGCCCAGAAAGUUAAUCGACAUAAGAUUUUGGCAGUCGAAUAUGGGAACAAUGGGUGCAUUGUGUUGCAAAAAACCAAUACACCUCAUUAGUUAUACAUCCCAAGAAUGGUUCCAAUCAAUGGUUACCACAGAUUACUAUUGGAGAUCACGCGAUCACACGUUUAAAUAUGGGAUAUGCAAGAGAAAGCUGCCCAGAAGCUUGAUCGAUUUACUACAUGACUUGGGCUUUUGGAACAUAAAAUUGGGAGCACUGGAUGCAUCGUGGAACAUCACCCUAAUGAAUAUCAGUAACUCUACAUCCCAAGAAUGGUGCCAACAAUUGACAUCAACAGAUGCCUACUGGAGAUCACACGACUACCUGCUCAAACAGUGUAUGCUCCCACAUGCUCGAAAAUGCUGAAACUUAGUCUCAUUGAGAAGCAAGUAUAACUGUCCAAGAAAUUGUGAGAAUGCAGUUGCAUUACUGGAUACUAGUCAUCAUGACAAUCAAAUAAUACCAAGGGAUAAGAUGGGCAGAGGUAAAGAUAGUCACGAUAUUUUUCUGGAAAGACAAGGGCGUUCCAAGACAGUAGGCUUUACAAUAGAAGUUGCUACAGAUUAUAUGGAUGAUCGUAGGAGUUACACAAUUGAGGAAGAUGCAGAUGCAGGUUUGCAAAUCAAUUUGAAAGAUUCAUUACUGGUUUCAUUAAGUUCACCGUUGAUACAGCAAAGGGAAGAUAGUCAAAAUUGCAACAAAAGAAGGCUACAUAUGGGCUUCAAUUGUGAAGAUUUAGCAUGGCUAGUUUUUAUAAAACAGUUUCACUGCUUUAUUAGCCUACUUUUUGUGAUAUCAGUGUUGAGCACAUUUCCCAACAUUGAUAAUAGAAAGUAUAUAUUCGUCAAAGUAUAUUUCUUUCAUCUUGUAA